AAGAACAGCCGGCCAAGGAAACAAAAGAAACAACUCAAAACUCUUCAAAUUCCAUCUUCAUUUCUUCAACAAAACACCACCAAACUCCACCAAAAUUGAACCGCACCUAGCUAAUCACUUGGUGAUCAUCUUAAGCUAGAAAAGGGGCUUCAUUUCCACGGUUUUCUUGAGCUUCAAAGUAAUUAAAAAUUCUGAUUUUUUCAUCAAGAGAGGCACUCGAGGGAAUCUCCAAGAGAAACUCGGAGCGGACACCUAAACGCUUGUUGAGAACCAUUCGCUUAUUUUGGAUUAGUGAGUCCUGGCGAGAGCUAUGCAGGCGUCCCGCUGAUAUCCUUUGGUUCGCCUUAGGGAGAAGUGGGGGCGUCACACAGAGUGGAGGUAGAAGAACAACCAAGAACCAGCACAUUGGUGAACAAAGUUGCGAUGCACAAGCAUCUAUUCAUGAGGAGCAACAUGUAGAUUCCUUAAGUGAGCAGCAACAUGAGCAACAGCAUGUAGGUUCUUCAACUGGAGGACAAAGUGGUGAUGCACAAGCAUGUCAUAGCCAGCAGCAUGUUGGAGAAACUGAUACACAACAAGAAGGAUUGAGCUGUCAACAACCUAUUGAAGAUGAAGGAAAUGAGCUGUCAACAGCCUAUUAAAGAAGAAUGGGAAAAGGAUCAGCCACUAAAAGAGGAACUCGGCCAUGAUAGACCAAACUUUUGACAAACUCUUUCUGUCUUAUGCUGUGUAAACUGAUGAUGACAAGUCAUAACCAUAUCAGAACAUGUUUUUGUGUC
This is a non-coding RNA of Coffea arabica (coffee), 779 nucleotides long. NCBI's taxonomy places the organism in Eukaryota, Viridiplantae, Streptophyta, Magnoliopsida, Gentianales, Rubiaceae. The record is from RefSeq and is a predicted model, not a curated record.